Molecule: transfer RNA, 81 nt
Filed under: Felis catus (domestic cat)
Lineage: Eukaryota; Metazoa; Chordata; Mammalia; Carnivora; Felidae
Rfam family: tRNA
About the family: Transfer RNA (tRNA) molecules are approximately 80 nucleotides in length. Their secondary structure includes four short double-helical elements and three loops (D, anti-codon, and T loops).
Source: Rfam by way of RNAcentral
CCCUGGGUGGCUCAGUGGGUUGAGCAUCUGACUUCAGCUCAGGUCAUGACCUUGCCAUGGGUUCGAGCCCCACAUCAGGCU